RNAcentral lists this ribosomal RNA (261 nucleotides) under uncultured bacterium. RNAcentral describes it as "partial 16S ribosomal RNA". It matches the Rfam family "Bacterial small subunit ribosomal RNA", at positions 15 to 263 of the family's 1533-position model. The record is from RNAcentral.
GAUCCUGGCUCAGGAUGAACGCUAGCUACAGGCUUAACACAUGCAAGUCGGAGGGGCGAGCAUGGACCCAGCUUUGCCGGGUUUGAUGGCGACCGGCGCACGGGUGAGUAACGCGUAUCCAACCUGCCCUUUACUCCGGGAUAGUCUCCUGAAAGGGAGUUUAAUACCGGACAUGUUUGUCUUUCCGCAUGGGAGCGACAAAUAAAGAUUAAUUGGUAAAGGAUGGGAUGCGUCCCAUUAGCUUGUUGGCGGGGUAACCGG